AUGAGACGGGAUGUUGAGCGUUUUGUUGCUCGCUGCACUACAUGUCAAAAAGCUAAGUCACGACUCAAUCCUCAUGUCACUAACAUUUUGCAGGAGUUCGCUGACGUCUUUCCACAAGACGUGCCACCGGGAUUACCGCCUAUUCGAGGGAUUGAGCAUCAGAUUGACUUAAUUCCCGGUGCUUCACUGCCAAACCGUGCACCAUACCGUACCAAUCCAGAGGAGACGAAGGAGAUUAUGCGCCAAGUACAAGAGCUUCUCGACAAAGGAGGCAUUAAUAAUAUUAAUAUUCGUUAUCGUCAUCCUAUUCCUAGGCUAGAUGAUAUGCUUGAUGAAUUGAGUGGCUCUACAAUAUUCUCCAAAGUUGAUUUGCGUAGUGGCUACCAUCAAAUUCGUAUGAAAUUGGGAGAUGAAUGGAAAACAGCAUUUAAAACUAAGUUUGGAUUAUAUGAGUGGUUAGUCAUGCCUUUUGGGUUAACUAAUGCACCUAGUACUUUCAUGAGAUUAAUGAACGAAGUUUUACGUGCUUUCAUUGGACGAUUUGUGGUAGUUUACUUUGAUGACAUACUGAUUUAUAGCAGAUCUUUGGAAGAACAUUUGGAACAUUUACGUGCUGUUUUUAUUGCUCUACGUGAUGCACGUUUGUUUGGUAACCUUGGGAAGUGCACCUUUUGCACCGACCGAGUAUCUUUUCUUGGCUAUGUUGUUACUCCACAGGGAAUUGCAGUUGACAAAGCCAAGAUUGAAGCUAUUGAGAGUUGGCCGCAGCCCAAAACGGUCACACAAGUGAGGAGUUUUCUUGGCCUCGCUGGAUUCUAUAGGCGUUUUGUGAGAGAUUUCAGCACCAUUGCUGCACCUCUCAACGAGCUUACAAAGAAGGAUGUGCCUUUUGUUUGGGGUACCGCACAGGAAGAAGCCUUCACGGUAUUGAAAGAUAAGUUGACACAUGCUCCUUUACUCCAACUUCCUGAUUUUAAUAAGACUUUUGAGCUUGAAUGUGAUGCUAGUGGCAUUGGAUUAGGAGGUGUGUUAUUACAAGAUGGCAAACCUGUUGCAUACUUUUCUGAAAAAUUGAGUGGGCCUAGUCUGAAUUAUUCUACUUAUGAUAAAGAACUAUAUGCUCUUGUUCGGACUUUAGAAACAUGGAAACAUUAUUUAUGGCCCAAAGAAUUUGUUAUACAUUCUGAUCAUGAAUCUUUGAAACAUAUUAAAAGUCAAGCUAAACUGAAUCGUAGACAUGCUAAAUGGGUUGAAUUCAUUGAAACUUUCCCUUAUGUCAUUAAACACAAGAAGGGUAAAGAAAAUGUUAUUGCUGAUGCAUUGUCUCGUCGCUAUACUAUGCUUUCACAACUUGACUUCAAAAUAUUUGGUUUGGAGACCAUCAAAGAUCAAUAUGUGCAUGAUGCUGAUUUUAAAGAUGUAUUGCAGAAUUGUAAAGAAGGAAGAACCUGGAACAAGUUUGUCGUUAAUGAUGGAUUUGUGUUCCGUGCUAACAAGCUAUGCAUUCCAGCUAGCUCUCUUCGUCUUUUGUUGUUGCAGGAGGCGCAUGGAGGAGGAUUAAUGGGACACUUUGGCGUGAAGAAGACGGAGGACGUACUUGCUACACAUUUCUUUUGGCCAAAGAUGAGAUGGGAUGUUGAGCGGCUGUUUUGA
RNAcentral lists this ribosomal RNA (1653 nucleotides) under Triticum aestivum (bread wheat). RNAcentral's name for it is "partial small subunit ribosomal RNA". The record is from RNAcentral. Lineage: Eukaryota; Viridiplantae; Streptophyta; Magnoliopsida; Poales; Poaceae.